Molecule: ribosomal RNA, 1443 nt
Filed under: uncultured organism
Description: SSU rRNA
Rfam family: Bacterial small subunit ribosomal RNA
Source: RNAcentral
UUAGCUACAGGCUUAACACAUGCAAGUCGAGGGGCAGCAUUUCAGUUUGCUUGCAAACUGGAGAUGGCGACCGGCGCACGGGUGAGUAACACGUAUCCAACCUGCCGAUAACUCGGGGAUAGCCUUUCGAAAGAAAGAUUAAUACCCGAUGGUAUAAUCAGACCGCAUGGUUUGAUUAUUAAAGAAUUUCGGUUAUCGAUGGGGAUGCGUUCCAUUAGGCAGUUGGUGAGGUAACGGCUCACCAAACCUUCGAUGGAUAGGGGUUCUGAGAGGAAGGUCCCCCACAUUGGAACUGAGACACGGUCCAAACUCCUACGGGAGGCAGCAGUGAGGAAUAUUGGUCAAUGGGCGCAGGCCUGAACCAGCCAAGUAGCGUGGAGGAUGACUGCCCUAUGGGUUGUAAACUUCUUUUAUAUGGGAAUAAAGUUUUCCACGUGUGGAAUUUUGUAUGUACCAUAUGAAUAAGGAUCGGCUAACUCCGUGCCAGCAGCCGCGGUAAUACGGAGGAUCCGAGCGUUAUCCGGAUUUAUUGGGUUUAAAGGGAGCGUAGGUGGACAGUUAAGUCAGUUGUGAAAGUUUGCGGCUCAACCGUAAAAUUGCAGUUGAUACUGGCUGUCUUGAGUACAGUAGAGGUGGGCGGAAUUCGUGGUGUAGCGGUGAAAUGCUUAGAUAUCACGAAGAACUCCGAUUGCGAAGGCAGCUCACUGGACUGCAACUGACACUGAUGCUCGAAGGUGUGGGUAUCAAACAGGAUUAGAUACCCUGGUAGUCCACACAGUAAACGAUGAAUACUCGCUGUUUGCGAUAUACAGUAAGCGGCCAAGCGAAAGCAUUAAGUAUUCCACCUGGGGAGUACGCCGGCAACGGUGAAACUCAAAGGAAUUGACGGGGGCCCGCACAAGCGGAGGAACAUGUGGUUUAAUUCGAUGAUACGCGAGGAACCUUACCCGGGCUUAAAUUGCAUUUGAAUAAUCUGGAAACAGGUUAGCCGCAAGGCAAAUGUGAAGGUGCUGCAUGGUUGUCGUCAGCUCGUGCCGUGAGGUGUCGGCUUAAGUGCCAUAACGAGCGCAACCCUUAUCUUUAGUUACUAACAGGUCAUGCUGAGGACUCUAGAGAGACUGCCGUCGUAAGAUGUGAGGAAGGUGGGGAUGACGUCAAAUCAGCACGGCCCUUACGUCCGGGGCUACACACGUGUUACAAUGGGGGGUACAGAAGGCAGCUACCUGGUGACAGGAUGCUAAUCCCAAAAGCCUCUCUCAGUUCGGAUCGAAGUCUGCAACCCGACUUCGUGAAGCUGGAUUCGCUAGUAAUCGCGCAUCAGCCAUGGCGCGGUGAAUACGUUCCCGGGCCUUGUACACACCGCCCGUCAAGCCAUGAAAGCCGGGGGUACCUGAAGUACGUAACCGCAAGGAGCGUCCUAGGGUAAAACUGGUAAUUGGGGCU